RNAcentral lists this microRNA precursor (90 nucleotides) under Marmota monax (woodchuck). Lineage: Eukaryota; Metazoa; Chordata; Mammalia; Rodentia; Sciuridae. The record is from RNAcentral.
UGGGCAAUGUUAUGUAUAUACAUACAUAUAUAUAUAUAUAUAUAUAUAUAUAUAUAUGUAUGUAUAUACAUAACAUUGCCCAGAAUUUUA